RNAcentral lists this transfer RNA (72 nucleotides) under Camelus ferus (Wild Bactrian camel). It matches the Rfam family "tRNA". From Rfam's summary of the family: Transfer RNA (tRNA) molecules are approximately 80 nucleotides in length. Their secondary structure includes four short double-helical elements and three loops (D, anti-codon, and T loops). Further hydrogen bonds mediate the characteristic L-shaped molecular structure. tRNAs have two regions of fundamental functional importance: the anti-codon, which is responsible for specific mRNA codon recognition, and the 3' end, to which the tRNAs corresponding amino acid is attached (by aminoacyl-tRNA synthetases). tRNAs cope with the degeneracy of the genetic code in two manners: having more than one tRNA (with a specific anti-codon) for a particular amino acid; and 'wobble' base-pairing, i.e. permitting non-standard base-pairing at the 3rd anti-codon position. The record is from Rfam by way of RNAcentral. Lineage: Eukaryota; Metazoa; Chordata; Mammalia; Artiodactyla; Camelidae.
GAGGGUAGAGCUCAGGGGGGGAGGGCAUGCUUACCAUGCACAAGGUCCUGGGUUCAAGCCCCAGUACCUCCA